AUUUCCUUUAUAUAAACUGUAAUGAUGUAGAACUAUGUAAUGUAUUUAUUGAUGAAUUAAUGUUGAACACAACUAGUGUGUUUUUCAGCAAGUCAGUAAACUUCAAACAACUCUUGAGUGUGGGGGAGGGGCGCGCUUCAAUCAAGCCACAUGCAAGGAUGCGUUCAUGGCAGAAGGAAUUUUUUGCUUUCUUCAUUGAGACUUAUUUAUGCUUAAAAGCAGUAUGGUUUGAGUUUCAAAUGUUGGACUAAUUAUUUAAUGAACCAUUGUUAAACAUAAUCCUACUAGUUUACUGAAGAGUGUGGAUUGUAAUCAGUAGCUUAGUCCAUGAAGUGUCACAACAUUGACAUCCGAGUGGACGUGAAUGCAUCACCAGAAAGUGCGAGCCCGCAGAUGCACAUCAACACCACUGAAGCGGUGUGAAGAACAACUAACGCAAACAAAACAAGAAAACCACAAACAAAUCUUACAACUAAUCAAGAUGGACGGUGUUAUAGAUGGCUCUUUAUCUGAAUCCAGCAAUGAUCCAGAAAGUGACUACAUGCCGUCAAUGUCUGAUAGUUCAUCCUCAACAGUGGCACCUGGUCAAGAGUCACAAGUCAGUGGAAGUCAGGCUCAAAACUCAGAUGCCUGUUCAAGAUUCUGAUGAAGAACCGGACAUUCUGACUCAAAAGACCUCAACUCCAAGACCAUCAGAUCAGGCCUGCUGAAAAAGACUGAGAAAACAGGGAGCGAUUGACAGUACCCCCAAAAGAAGUUCCAUGGUAGGCCUUGGUGUUGUGAAAAAAAGACGACAGUACGGCGACAGCACAUCACUCUGAAUAGAGUUCCUGGUAAAGAACUUAGUCUCAAGGCUCUUGAUGCAGAACUGAUACUCGCCACUGGAGAGAUGUUAAGAACCAAAUCUACAAUUCCAUCACAUCCCAAAAAAGUCAAGUUUGAGUUUAUCAGUCUAUUGUCUAAAAAGUGUUAGGUAACACUUUAAAAGUGGUCAAGGAGGUUCUUUGCCUCACUCUAUGACUAUUUCACUUCAUGCUAAACUGCUGUUGAUGCACUUAACAGUUGAUGAAUCUGUUAUAGAUCAGUUGAUUACCUCAUAUUGAUAAUAAUGGCACUUUUUGAUGACACUAAUUAACCAUGACCACGUGUAUUGAUGACACUUAUUGAUAAUAAUAAUGAUGGCAAUUCUUAUUGGUAAUAGCGUUGAUAAUGAGACUUGAUACUGACACCGCUUAUUGAUAAAGACCCUAAUUCACAAUGGCACUCAUUGAUAAUUACACUUAUUAAUACAGACUACUUGACGACGAUGACACUUAUUGAAAAUAAUGAGACUCAUUGAUAAUAUUGAUGCAUUGAUUUAGACACUAAUUGACAAUGACACUAAUUGAUAAUGACCCUUUUUGAUGAUGGUUAUUUAUAUUGAUAAUAGCACUUGACAUAAUGACACCUAUUGAUAAUGACAUUUAUUUGUGAUUACGACACUUAGUGAUACUAGCAUCGCUUAUUGAUAAUGACACUACCGUAUUUUUCAGACUAUAAGUCGACGUUUUUUUCAUAGUUUGGCCGUGGGUGCGACUUAUACUCCGGAGCGACUUAUGUGUGAAAUGAUUAACACAUUACCGUAAAAUAUCAAAUAAUAUUAUUUAUCUCAUUCACGUGAGCGACGAAGCAAAUGGCAGCCAUCAUCACACACACGUCAGCAAUCGUCACUCACAUGCCAACCAAUAAGAAUUCGGUUGGGGCGGGCCAUGGCAGAAGUGCAUUGUGGGCCAUGAUAUGCUAACUGCUAUAUGCUAUACGCUACUGCCAGAGCUAUUAAAAUGGAUCACAUCAACAUUGGCGGUAACUUAUAAAAACUGAGAAGUGCUGAACUAAAAUGGCACCGAAAAGGAAAUCAUAUACUGCAGAUUACAAGCUGGACGUAGUUAAAUAUGCUGCAGAAAACUGCGAUCGAGCAGCAGAAAGAAAGGACGCUAGCGGCGCAUACCAGGAGCGACACCGGGGAGGAAGAUUUCAUGGGAUUUAGCGAUCGGGAGUGACAGAUUGUUUGGUAAACGUAUAGCAUGUUCUAUAUGUUAUAGUUAUUUGAAUGACUCUUACCAUAAUAUGUUACGUUAACAUACCAGUUGGUUAUUUAUGCGUCAUAUAACGUACACUUAUUCCGCCUGUUGUUCACUAUUCUUGAUUUAUUUUAAAUUGCCUUUCAAAUGUCUAUUCUUGCUGUUGGCUUUUAUCAAAUACAUUUCCCCCAAAAAUGCGACUUAUACUCCAGUGCGACGUAUAUAUGUUUUUUUCCUUCUUUAUUAUGCAUUUUCGGCCGGUGCGACAUAUACUCCGUAGCGACUUACACUCCGAAAAAUACGGUAAUAGACGAUGAAUCUUAUUGAUAAUGAUGCUUAUGGAUGAUGACGAUAAUGACACUUAACAAUAAUGAUGUUAUUACUAAUGGCACUUAUUGAUAUUGAUGAUGACAUUGAUGAUCAAUCUUUCUAUUCAUUAUAGUUAGAGUAUUGUGGACCAACUUAUCUUCUAUUAGAUGAUCUAUGCUGCUUUAUAAUAAAAUAAUUUUGCUAUCAAUUUGUGUAAAAUAUUUUGUUAAUACUUACAUGUGUUUGAAAAUUCUGGGAAAUCGUCAUGAAUUACAUUUUUUUUUCAAAUAUACAUAUCAAUCAAUAAUAGUAUUAGAUUAGAUUUUUUUCAGUUAGAAUAACGCAAACCUGAUAUGAUAUGCUUACCUAGAAAAGGCCUAAAGCUGCACUUGAGUACAGUAAAAACAGUAAUUGAGUAAUAAUGUGUUACUUAAAACUUAAAAGCAAAUUAAAUGUAAGGUAGCAGCUUGAAAGUCAAAUCCCAGAAAUAAUAGCUGUAGUACAGUUGUACGAGCAGUAGUAGGGUAAUACUAUAAGUAAAAUAAGUUGUUAGUGUAGCUGUGAAAUGUCGUAGAAGUAAUAUUAUCAUUU
Molecule: non-coding RNA, 2960 nt
Organism: Nerophis lumbriciformis (worm pipefish)
Lineage: Eukaryota; Metazoa; Chordata; Actinopteri; Syngnathiformes; Syngnathidae
Source: RefSeq, a predicted model, not a curated record